RNAcentral lists this long non-coding RNA (308 nucleotides) under Olea europaea (common olive). Its description in RNAcentral is "long non-coding RNA (OEUR_LNC009953)". Lineage: Eukaryota; Viridiplantae; Streptophyta; Magnoliopsida; Lamiales; Oleaceae. The record is from RNAcentral.
UAAAAUUAUCUUUCUAAUGCCACAAAUUUUAUAGAAAACGGAGUUGGGAUGAAUUUUAUAAAAAUUGUCAAACUUACUGCCCCAACUAAUCUUGACAGUGCCGAGGCCGUAUAUGUGAAGCAUAAUUCCUUGUCGAUGUGCACUUUUAUCGGCCAUCAAAUUUUAUAAGAAUUAUUUUACCAAGUUGAAAAUAAGUUUUUAACAUGUAAUAUUUCUAUUUAAGAAUAUUUACAUGUACCAAAGGCAAAAGUUAUUAUGUAAAGUACGUGGCCCUCGAAGCUUAAGUUCGGGGCGCCACAGUUGUGGUA